RNAcentral lists this long non-coding RNA (1359 nucleotides) under Homo sapiens (human). RNAcentral's name for it is "non-protein coding LINC00851:2". Lineage: Eukaryota; Metazoa; Chordata; Mammalia; Primates; Hominidae. The record is from RNAcentral.
CAGCACUCAGUUCACCCAGAUCUGGCCUCCAGCAGCAGGACCAGAAGCAGCAGCGAGGAGAGGCAGAAGCAGCAGCCACCUGGGCACUCCUCACCAUCACAGAAGCGGCUCCCAGAUGGCUCUGUGGGCCCAGGCCCCUCUUCCUUCCAUUCAGAAAAACACACAGCAGUUAACUGCAUCCGUGUGUGCAAUUGAGAAGGAAAAAGCAAAAACCUGGCUCCGAAGCAGUCAGAAAUAGAAGUGGGAAAAGAAGCAAGUGAUGUGCGUUCUUGAGGUCCUCCGAAGAGAUGUCUUGGAGACAACAGAAAUAAAUGACCCUGUAAAUUUUCUUUAUCCUACUGGGCACCUUGACCAGAGCACCUGGAGCUGUGGCCUUGCACAGGUGUUGGGGAGGAACUCUUCUGGAUUAAACAUGGAAAACCCACCAACCACAGAGAUGCAAGCUUCAACACUGUCUGGACUCUAGAAGAUGCUCUGAUUCAAGAGGAUGUAAAGAAAUUCUCUAAGCCGAUAAGAAAAAUAGAAGAAACCCAAAUGGGCAAUGAGUGCAUGGGAACUCACUCACCUCAGUGGAAAGGAGGGAAUGGCAAGCCAGCCCACUGAAGCCCACUGGGGACAUAGGACAAGUCUGCAAAGCAGAGACAGCCCCUCCAGGAAGAGCGACCAGGCCUUGAGAGGACAUGGCCUUAGGACCAGAUCCAGGGAAGACACAGUCACUAACCCCUGGCUCAUCUGGCAGGUGUGGGAAGCAGCCAGGCCCGUGGCUUCACCAGCUCCCCCCGAUCUCUGCCUUCAGCUGUCCUGCAGCCUGGGUCAGGCACCUAGGCAGCUUUAUGGCAGGCGGAGAUGCACCACCCACAUCCUCUUUCCAGGCAGGGCUUGCUGCCCUGGCUGUAGCGAGUGCGGCAGCAGGUGGCCUCCAGCUAUCAGCAACUUCAGAGAGCUGCCUUGCCUGAGGUCCCGUCCCUUCUGGGGAAGCUCCCAUCUGCCAGGGGGCUACAAAAGCACAGUGGACACCAUGAUGGGCAAUUCUGGCUGAUGGGAGCACCACCUGGUGGCUGAGGCAUUCUUGGGCCACAUAGCAGUUGACUGCCCUCUCCACCAUCUUUUCACAAGUGUUAAUCCCAAUAAACACCCAUCCUCUUCCAUCCCAAACUGUCUUGGCAUCUGCUUCUAGAGAGCCCAGCCUGGGGCAAAUUUCACGGGAAAGGGCGCAUCUCCUGCAAUUUGCCUGUGACCAUGAGGGUGGAGGAGGGAGAUGUGUCCCCAUGGGUUCCAGCUUGUCCUUGCUCGUCCCCUUCAUGCUCACCUGUACUUCCUGAACGUAGCCCUGCUGUGGUACAGCAUCUUCAGGCCCAC